GCGCCCUCAUACGCUCCCAGCCUCUCCCUCGCUCACACGCAGGGACACACACACACACAGAUAGACAGACACACACACACACACACCCUCUCCUGUCAGCGUCAUUCCCUUCCCUCACCUGCACUCCUUACCGUUACUCGCUUUCUUGCCUCACAAAGCGACCCUCCCUGCCUCCCUCGCCUCGCUUGUUUUGGUGUGGUUUCAUAUGAUUUUAUUUCAACGAUUCGGCUUUUUUGUCUCGAUAUUUUUUAACCAGAUUUCUGCGGUGCAUGAAUCUCGCUUUGAUCUCCCGCUUCGCCUCUCUUGCCCCCUUCAUCCGCAGCUGUGUUUACGUGUUUAUUUUAUUCCUUUCCCUCUCUCUUUCUCUUUCUCUCCUCGUGUUAUUUGUCUCUGUCUGCGUGGCUGUCUGCUCUCCGUCUAGUUACCGUCAGCUACUGCGUGUGCACGGGUGAUUAAAACGUCGGGCCGUCAUCUGAGGUCUUAUUAGCUAUCCAAGACGUGACGCUGCCCUUGUGUUACCUGUCCAUCUUACUCGUGUCCGUUGUGUGGGGUUCCUGUUACGCUACUGCCAAUGUGACAUGUUAAUAGUGUGACUGGAGUGUAGCAAUGGGCUGCGUGAAGGGACGUGAUCUGUUUAGUGACUCCCUAUUGGUGUUUGAGUCCACGUGCUUUUGAGUAACAGCAGUGUGACGUGUGCGAGAUCCUAACAUGACGCAACCUAAGAUUACAAAGGCGAGAAUGAAGGUGACUUGUUCUUCAGUGCUAGUAGUGAAGGUUUGGUGUGUGUGCCUAGAUCAGUGUCACUCUUAAUAAUGGGGGUAGUUUGUGUUUGUGUGACCUUAGCCUGACGUAAAGGAGCUAAGCAAGUAAUGGAGUGACGCGUGCAGUAUUCAAAGUGAAGAUGUAGCGCGCAGAGAGGAAUAGAGCAGCAUGACUUGUGUGGUUAGUUGGUUGAUGAGUGAGACGAUGCUUCCGAAGUGACUCGAAGCCUUGAAUUUCUCGUAUCACCAGAAAUGAGUCGUAAUAGUUAUUGGUGGAGUCACUGCCGCCUCUGACUUUUGGUAGUUGAACUCGUCCAGCGCCUAAAGUGACUCGGCUGGAAAUAAACUUUGAUGCAUAAUGGUGAAAUCUUUGAUGGUACACGUUGUUACUAUUAUUAUUAUCAUUCUCUUAUUAUCAUUAUUGUUAUGUCUAUAUUUAUUCAUUCGUUCAUUUCAUACAAUGGUGCAAUACCAAAAAAAAUUCCCUCGCUGUGUUAGUACAACCACAGAAAGGAGAUAGAAACUCCUCUUAACACCUUCAGUGCUGGAACUCUUUAUCAUGGAUUUUUGGUGUGAUUAGACGCUUUUAUUGACAUUAGGAAGGGUCAACGGAGAUCAGGAGUUUAUAGACUUCACUGACAAUUCCCACACAAGUUUCUGAAGCUGUAUAAAGUCACCAGAUAGUACGCAGAAUGAAUAUGAAAAAGUGUCAUGGUGCUAGUGAUCAGAGCCUUGACACCCCCUAGCACUGUGACACCCGAGACAUCACAAGCCCACGUGGCACACAGCACAGAGGUAACCAGUGCCCCGUGACCGUCUGCCUCUCGAUCACCUGUACUGGCAUGGCGUGACGUGACCCUCCCCAUUAGCAGAUCCAGGCCAGCCGCUCAUUAUCCGCUGACCUGGCCCCUUUAAUGAUGUGAUUAGGCUCCUUACCUGUCCUGCCUGCCACCGUCAUUACCUUCCCUGACGGAUGACCUAGCGAGAGCGGUGACCUGGGCCAUGUGUGUGUGUUGACCUUAAAGAUAAGGACUGAUACAGUGUGUUGAGUGUUUCGUUAAUGUGGGUGGUGCGUCUCCUGGUGUUGCUACUGAUGGUGAUGAUGAUUGUGGUGAUCUUACUUCUUUUCUAUUGGUGAUUUUUUAUUUUACUACUAUUACUGCUUCUACUACUACUACUGCUAUUGCUACAGCCCUAACAUCCCCCUCUCCCCCCGCUCUCCUUCCCCCUGAUAGGUAACAGUGAAAACAACAAAGUGAGUGGCGGCGACAGCAGUGACUUGCAGUGACAGUGGUGAUUGGUUUGUUAUUGUGGUGGUGGUGGUGGUGGUGGUGUGUGUGUGUGGUGGUGAGGUGAACAAGCCACGACCUCCCACAAAAGGAACGCUUGCAAAGGACGACUAUUUAUCAAGGUGAGCGGAGUGAGUUUAGCCAUGCAGUGUCCAGCGGCGGUGCAGGUGUUACGGAAAGACUGCUGAGGGCGGGUCGUAAUUACAGGCAGUCUACCCCACACAUUAUCCACCAUUACGGGGCAGGACUGCGGCUGACUCUCGUGUUCCAGAUUCCCGCCCGUGGUCACUGCCUGGGCCUCGAUACAUCCCUCCUAUAGUAAUGCCUCCUCUUACUCUGUCCAGUAUUCAGAAACGCUUUGCUCUCUCACCACGACUAUUUCCAAAGGCUCCAGUUGAAGAUACUCAUGUUUUCAAGGGUAUUUUAAUGGUUCUAGUGAUGGACUGGCAAGAUUUCUAGUUGAUCAUAAAGAGAAACUGUCUUGAAAACCCAGCUAGUCGUCUAUGGGUACUUGAAAAUUUGUCGUGGUGAGAAAGAAAGGCGCUUCUGAACAUAGCCGUCUGGUGGGAGUUAUUUGGGUUUUCAGUAAUGUUUUUAUGAUGCCGGUGAUCAGUUAACAAGAAAUCUAUAUCAAUAGGAAAAACACCCGCUUGAAAACACGGCCAAUCGUCUCUAAGCCCUUUGAAAUGAGUCCUGAUGGGAGAACAAAGAGUGCGGGGAACAAAGCAUGUGAAGACAAACACCCUCGCUCCCGCCAACGCUUCUACUUCUUCUUUCGCCUUCAUUAUUUACACACUCUAUUGGAUGUUGGCAAAGGAUGUUGUCAUGACCACUGAUGCUUCGACGAGGACUGUGUAGCAUCAACGGAAAGAAAAAAAUAAAAAGCUUUGAGAACCAGGCUAAUCAUCUUUGCGGCCUUUGAAAAUAAGCUUUAGAGGAGAACAAAGGUGUUUCAUAAGAGAGAAUUCGUUCCUUUGAUUCUUUUUGAGGCUGCGCAGUGUCCAGAGAGAGAGAGAGAGAGAGAGAGAGAGAGAGAGAGAGAGAGAGAGAGAGAGAGAGAGAGAGAGAGAGAGAGAGAGAUCCUUAACCCUUUCACUUUGACACGACACAAUUACACAAACAUGGUAUAAAUAAAAAAAAAAAAAAACAUAUAUAAGGUAAGAAAUCUUUAUAAGCAUCAACAAGUUACGAAUGAAAAGGAUAAAAAAUGGGAAUUUCUACCCAGCUUAAAGAUUGGAUGUGGUUGUAGAGGAAGCGAAAUAUGUCUCGGAGUGAUUGGUAAUUAGGGAAAGGUGAACCCAGUGACGCUCAAAGGGUUAGCACACAUCCAAUUUGUACUUUACCUAUACAUAUACAUGAUUAACCCCUUCAGUACCGUGACGCGUUUUUAUAUUCAUUUUGCUUAUUAUUUAGUGUUUUUAUACAGCUACAGAAACUUAUGGUGGGGGAUUAAACUAGUGAAGACUCUGGCCAUUAACCCC
Molecule: long non-coding RNA, 3531 nt
Organism: Portunus trituberculatus (swimming crab)
Lineage: Eukaryota; Metazoa; Arthropoda; Malacostraca; Decapoda; Portunidae
Exons: 3
Source: RefSeq, a predicted model, not a curated record